AACCGCGGUUAUACGAGAAACCCUAGUUGAUAAAAACGGCGUAAAGAGUGGUUAGGGAAUUAAAUAAAUAAAGUCAAAUAUUUUUUUAGCUGUUAUAUGCAUUUAAAAUCUUGAAGCCCAAUCACGAAAGUAACUUUACCUUAUCCUGACCCCACGAAAGCUAAGAAA
Molecule: ribosomal RNA, 168 nt
Filed under: Pristellinae sp. CBM:ZF:13633
Lineage: Eukaryota; Metazoa; Chordata; Actinopteri; Characiformes; Acestrorhamphidae
Description: partial 12S rRNA
Source: RNAcentral